ACAAGGUGUCACACGGGAACUGCCGGUCAUAAACCGGAGGAAGGUGGGGAUGGACGUCAAGUCAGCAUGGCCUUUAUAUCCUGGGCUACACACACGCUACAAUGGGAAGGGACAAUAGGUUGCGAAACCGCGAGGUGGAGCCAAUCCAGCAAAACUCCCUCAGUUCAGAUUGCAGGCUGCAACUCGCCUGCAUGAAGUUGGAGUUGCUAGUAAACGCAGGUCAGCCAUACUGCGUUGAAUACGUUCCCGGGGCUU
This 255-nucleotide ribosomal RNA is filed under the name uncultured Levilinea sp. RNAcentral's name for it is "partial 16S ribosomal RNA". It matches the Rfam family "Bacterial small subunit ribosomal RNA", at positions 1130 to 1382 of the family's 1533-position model. The record is from RNAcentral. Lineage: Bacteria; Bacillati; Chloroflexota; Anaerolineae; Anaerolineales; Anaerolineaceae.